This is a long non-coding RNA of Hydra vulgaris (swiftwater hydra), 1908 nucleotides long. RefSeq lists it as uncharacterized. The record is from RefSeq and is a predicted model, not a curated record. NCBI's taxonomy places the organism in Eukaryota, Metazoa, Cnidaria, Hydrozoa, Anthoathecata, Hydridae.
AGCUAAAUCAAACAAUUUCCGUACGGAACUAACUUAAUUAAAUUAGUUUCUUACAAAAUGUGUCGGACAUUUUGAAUCUUUCAUUAUGAUUAAAAAUUAGAGUUUCUUAUUAAUCUUAAAUUAUGUAAUAAAGGUUUAGAAAAAAUAAAAGAAAUUUGUUUUUAGUAUUAUAUUGUGGCUAAUGAAGGAGUUAAAAAGUCCUUCCAGUCAGUUGCAACAACAAUUAAAGCAGCAGGAAACAGCCAAGUACACAUGCAAGUGAUUGUUAUGAAGGUUGCAAAACUUUUAAAUAUCAGAAACUGAAGAAAGUAUUGAUAAUCAGCAGAUAUCAAAAAAGUGCAGAAGUACUGAUUAUACAACUCUUUUUAAGUUGAGGAAGAAUUUUAUGUUAAUGUUAAUGCAAAAGGUACGAAUAUUGACAGUUAAACCAUCACCACUUCCACAGCCACCUUGUCUCAAGCAUUAAAUCGCAUUCUAAGAUAUCUUUAUUCAAAUUAAGUGUGACUACUUUACCAAAAGACUCAAGAAUGGACCAAUCAACUAACCAUCAGUACUUGCAAAGUCUCCUUUUCUGUAAGCCCAAAAAUUGAGUUCUAAAAUACCAUUAUCCACAUAACUACUAUAUCAAAGUACAAUCUAAUGGAUUGAUCAAAUUGUUAUGAAGGUUGCAAAACUUUUAAAUAUCAGAAACUGAAGAAAGUAUUGAUAAUCAGCAGAUAUCAAAAAAGUGCAGAAGUACUGAUUAUACAACUCUUUUUAAGUUGAGGAAGAAUUUUAUGUUAAUGUUAAUGCAAAAGGUACGAAUAUUGACAGUUAAACCAUCACCACUUCCACAGCCACCUUGUCUCAAGCAUUAAAUCGCAUUCUAAGAUAUCUUUAUUCAAAUUAAGUGUGACUACUUUACCAAAAGACUCAAGAAUGGACCAAUCAAGUAAGAUGUCUAAAUCUAUAUCUUUUAUAUAGAACUCCUUUAUUUUUAGAUAAACCUGUUAAUUUUAUGACUUAUGAACAUAUUUAGCAAUGUAAUCCUUUUAGGAUAGACUUUUUAAAAUCAAUUUUACAAUGUUUUAGUAAAUUUUUAUUUAAAAUAACUUUGUAUACAUAAUAUAUCUAUAUAGUUAUUUACAUAAUAGCUAACCAUCAGUACUUGCAAAGUCUCCUUUUCUGUAAGCCCAAAAAUUGAGUUCUAAAAUACCAUUAUCCACAUAACUACUAUAUCAAAGUACAAUCUAAUGGAUUGAUCAAGUAAUACUUAAUUUUUACCUUGAAUUGCGUGUUAGUACAUAUAUAUGACUUUGAUAUAUAAAUUUUAAUUAUUAUGUUUGUUGAUUAGUUUUUAAACUUUAAGAAGUGUAAGAAUUACAAUUUUAUUUUUACAUGUUUAUUUAUAUUGUAGUGAAACUGUCGGUAUCUCCACAACUUUUCAAUUAAAUAAAAAGUUUCAAUUAAACAGGAUACUAAGUGUGCCUACUGCUCCUCAAGACAAUGAAUAAUGGGAGUUAUCAAACUUAUACAUACAUAUAUAUAUAUGUUGUACAGAUAUUGUUAUAAAGUAAUAGAAUACUGUAUAAUAUUGUAUUACUAUGUUUAGGAAGGGCACUGCAGUUGUCCUGCAGUUAUGCAACUUAUCAACCCAUAACUGCGAUAACUGCAAAUUAAUAAGAAAAGAGAUUGUAUGACUUCGGUAUCCGCAAUACGGUAUCGUGCAUUGAUUUCCAUCUUAGAAUGGCUCCCUUCCGUAUAGGUGGAAAUAGGAAAGAGCAUACCUUUUUUCUAAUUCUUAAGACGAAGAGGCUUAAUCGGAUCAAACAAAGAUGACGAUGAUCAUUAUGGAGCCGAUCAUGAUGACGAAUACGAUAAUGCAUAUAAUAAUAAAUAAAAUGAUUUUACUUGUAUCUUAGACUUAAA